Long non-coding RNA from Daphnia magna, 862 nucleotides. RefSeq lists it as uncharacterized. The transcript is spliced from 4 exons. The record is from RefSeq and is a predicted model, not a curated record. Lineage: Eukaryota; Metazoa; Arthropoda; Branchiopoda; Diplostraca; Daphniidae.
CUUCUGUUAUUCAGUAAUAAAUCGUUGGUUUCAUCUGAAAUGUGAAAAAAGUUGUGACGUGUUAAUUUAUCAUUUCCAGAUUGGUGCACUCGGAAGUGUGGCAGGAACUUGCAAGCUUUAGUCACAGAGGAACCAAUUCAUGUUUCUGAUCGCAUCUGAUGUUGUCCGUUUCAAGUCUCAUAAAACAUAGCUGCUGAUUUACUGUCUUGUGAGGUUUCUGUCAGAAAUGGUGCUACUGUGACCGACAAGGCUCUCUUGACAUGAUAGUUGUGCCAAUUCAUCUAUAAUGAACCUCCACUUGGAUCCUUGGAAUCAAAAGCCAUUGUGGAACUUCUCCUCGACAGUAUGUUGGGUAGUGAACUCUGUGAAAGUCCUUUUGUGCAUGGCAUCACGGUUUUGUUGACACUGCUACAGGUUCACAGGGAUCCACAAUUGCUGUCCAGCGAGCCAGAAGUAUUGAUUUCUAGCUGAUGCUGUCGUUUCACCUUGUUUUCGAAACACUGUGGAGGACAUCAUUCCACGUUUAAAAGACUUACAUCAAAUUCUGUCUCAACUUCCUAAUUUACUGUGCCCCAGCCUAUACUUCCCCUCCGUGGCUCUACGCUGCUCUUCUCUGCCCCAGUGCUACACCACUUGGCCCCGGCUCCAAGUUGCUGUGCCCUUGCCUACACUUCCCCUCCGUGGCUUUACGCUGCUCUACUCUGCCCCAGUGCUACACCACUUGACCCCGGCUCUACACAAGACGGCUCUACAACAGUGCCACAGCCCUACGUCAUUCUGCCCAAGCCCUACCCCAGUCUCCCUAGUGUCAGAUUUGCAAUAUAAUAUCGUAUUUGAAUAUAUUGUUUGUUGUACUGUUUGU